Triticum urartu is the source of this 1855-nucleotide long non-coding RNA. RefSeq lists it as uncharacterized. NCBI's taxonomy places the organism in Eukaryota, Viridiplantae, Streptophyta, Magnoliopsida, Poales, Poaceae. The record is from RefSeq and is a predicted model, not a curated record.
AAGGGGCGCUCGCUCGCGUGAGACAGAACGCCCAGCCCCCCGUUCCCCUUUCCCCUCCUCGAUUCCUCUUCCCCUCCCUAUCCCUCUUCCUCGUUUACCGCCGCCACCACUAGCCGGAGCCCUCCGCCAUAGCCGCCGCCACCAGCGCCCUCCCCAAAAGCCUGCAACCCACUCCUCUCUCCUCCGCUCACCUUAUUCCCACCAACGGCGAGCUCCUCCCCAAAGCCAUGGUGUGAGCGAGGAGGCGACAGGUCCGGAGACUACCUCCUGGAUCAGGAGGAGAAAGAGAAGCCUAGGGGCAAAAUUAUGCGUCUUAGCAGUGGCUCGAGCGAUGUAGGACGGUGACGAGCGAGCGGCUUCUACAGGCGGUGGGAGCGGUGGUGGGCAUGGCUUGGGGACCUGCGCUUGCGUCAACCGACGGCGAGCACGGCUGCUGCCAACCAGCCAAGAUGAGUCACAUGGCGACGCUCGAGAAGGUGAUGUCUGGCAGGGAUCAACACACUCUUUGCCACCCAGUACGGCCUGCCCAUGGUUGAUGGCAAGGGCAGGUGCAUUGGGUUGUCUCCAAGAAGCACAAGGCCAGGGCAUUGGGUAACCCGGUGCAACUGCUGUUCCCCAAUGAGUUCUUUGUCAUAGAAUGACCUUUUGGUAGCAGUACUGAAUAAUAAAAAAAUUGUUGCUGUUUGCGCGUCUCCGUCGUCCCUCACUCUUGCGUUUCUUUCAAUCGACUGGGCACGACGGUGGGUGAGGCGGGAUAGGUGGCACUGGGGCGCAGUGGAGUGGCUAGGCGAGAAUGUCUCGGCAGGGGACGGCGACCAUCGCAUCCGCUGAUAUGUUCACCAUCAUCAUUUAUAUGUAAUCUCAAAAACAAAGAAAUGCAUCCAGAUCUUGCAGGUUACACCAGGUUCUGUAGCUAUUAUUAUAUCUGUAAUUUCUACCUUUCAUGUAAUUUAUCACCAUUUAAUUACUAUAUGUGAUAGAUAUUUCUCUACUUAUUUUUAUCUUAUAUGAUGUGUUGUUCUACCUACGUAUGUUGCAUUCAGAGUACCGUUAGUUCUUGUAUGCUUGCAUCUUUGAUUGCGUAGACAUGCAGAGUGUCCUUUAAAUUUCUGUUAUUAUAGUUGGGAGGGUUACUCCUCAUUCUGGAGCCCCAAGUCAGAUUGAUAGAUUUUAUAUAUGUAAACAUUGAUGACCAUAUCAGUACCUUUGCCACUAUCUCUCUUUUGUUUGUGUAUUCCUACAGCCUGAUCAGCUUCAAAUACCUACUCUGACAGACAAUUCACGGUAAACUCGAUUAUUAACAUCCCUAUUCAUUGCAUUAAUUAUUUAUUUCUAGAGAUUUCUUUCUCAUAGCUGUUAUAUUCUUCCUUGCCCAUAAAUUAUUAUUUUGUUUAAUGAUAUCAAGCAUUCUUAUCUGGUAGAUCAGGCUAGUGACAAUGGCCAUCUGGAUGAGCAGGGGCAUGAUCUUUACAAUGAAGCACAAAGUUUGUCAGACAUUCUUGAUAAAGAGUCGAUAUAUCUAACUAUCUAAGCUACCGUUUAUGAAGUUACAAGAUGGUGAAAAUAUGCAGAAUGAUAUUUCAGUGGAUGAAGUGCUAGAAGAACCAGGAAGUUACUAGCAUCAAAAGGAAAAGAGAGCAAGGGGAUCUCAAACGUGUAAAAUCAUAUUGCCCAGUUAGAGAUUCCUAGGAGUUGUUUGUGCUAUUUUUUUAAGAUUACAUUGGUGAGUCGCUUUUUUCUUUUCUCUCUAAGGGUAUGUUUCAAUAUGCAGCCUUUUGCUGUAUCAACAUUUUUUGUAAUCUUUCUAUUUCUGUAUAUUUAUGAGACCAUUUAUUUCAUUCUACAAUUAUGCUCC